This 58-nucleotide transfer RNA is filed under the name Dipodomys ordii (Ord's kangaroo rat). It matches the Rfam family "tRNA", at positions 8 to 63 of the family's 71-position model. From Rfam's summary of the family: Transfer RNA (tRNA) molecules are approximately 80 nucleotides in length. Their secondary structure includes four short double-helical elements and three loops (D, anti-codon, and T loops). Lineage: Eukaryota; Metazoa; Chordata; Mammalia; Rodentia; Heteromyidae. The record is from Rfam by way of RNAcentral.
UGGCUCAGUGGUAGAGUGCUUGCCUUGCGUGCAUGAGGCUCUGGGUUCAAAUCCUCAG